RNAcentral lists this ribosomal RNA (494 nucleotides) under uncultured bacterium. RNAcentral describes it as "partial 16S ribosomal RNA". It matches the Rfam family "Bacterial small subunit ribosomal RNA", at positions 28 to 507 of the family's 1533-position model. The record is from RNAcentral.
GACGAACGCUGGCGGCGUGCUUAACACAUGCAAGUCGAACGGAAAGGCCUGCUUUCCCUUGUGGAUUGCGGGUACUCGAGUGGCGAACGGGUGAGUAACACGUGAGUGAUCUGCCCCCAACUUGGGUAUAAGCCUGGGAAACUGGGUCUAAUUCCCGAUAGGACUGCAGGGUGGUGCCUGUGGUGGAAAACGAUUUUCUAGUGGUUGGGGAUGAGCUCGCGGCCUAUCAGCUUGUUGGUGGGGUAAUGGCCUACCAAGGCGGCGACGGGUAGCCGGACUGAGAGGGUGGACGGCCACAUUGGGACUGAGAUACGGCCCAGACGCCUACGGGAGGCAGCAGUGGGGAAUAUUGCACAAUGGGCGGAAGCCUGAUGCAGCGACGCCGCGUGGGGGAUGACGGCCUUCGGGUGGUAAACUCCUUUCGACCGCGAGGAAGCCACCUGGUUGGAAGGGUGGUGACGGUAGUGGUAGAAGAAGCACCGGCUAACUACGUG